AAAGCUCUCUAAAUUUUUCUCUAUUUUAACUAAAUAUUAUUUUUUAUUAGUUUUUACAACAACUACUUUAACUGUCGUCAACAUUAAAAUCACACAAACCCAUCUCAGAUUCAGCCCAGGAAAGCACCAAAAACCCUAAAACUCAAACAGGGAUUUAUAUGAGAUUGCAAACACUAGGCUACUGACAGCCGAAAAACAGGGGAAAAAUUCAUACAGAAACAUCAAAAAAUCCUACCCAAAGCCCAUUCGGUUUUCUUCUCAAAUAACCCCAAAAUUUUUAUUUACCUGAAAACCUCAAGAACCUAGAAAAAUUUUCCAUUCUUCUACGGCUUCUCUCAGAGAAUUUCUACCCAAAAAUUCAGUACCCAUCAACCGGAAAUCAAAACCUGAGAAUCUACUUACCCAAAAAUUGAAUCCCCACUGUUUGGGCUUCGGGAAAACGCCGGAAAAAAUCCUAUCUUCAGCAUCGCCGAGGCCGUCCGUGACCCUCCAACGUCAACUUCCUCCCCAGCAGCGGCCGACCCACCAGAAACUUCUCCUUCUCCCUCUCCCGAUCUCUCAAUCUCCUUAUACGGUCCAGAUUUUGAUGACCCACCCAAAAGUGAAGACGAAAGGUGCCAGAGAGAUGGAAGUGAAGACGGAAGGCGCGAAUGGAAAAAAAAAUUGUUAAAAAAUUCAAUAGAGAGUAGAAUUCGUGAGCCAGAUUUGUAGUGAAAAUCUGACAAGAGAGGAAUUAGAGCACUUGUAGUGAACUCACCAAAGAGACGAAAUCACCAAAAUCAGACGACUUUCAUCAAAAUUGUGUCUGCAACGAACUCGUCUCUGCUAUAGGAAAUUUGGUGAGUGCCGAAAUGGCUCGUCUGUUCUGCUGAGCCAACUUCCUCUCGUCUCUUCUUAUUUUCCAUUUGUUUAUUACCCUUCCCGCGUUCUCGAUCUCCUGAAGCGAAAAUUGGAGCUCCUUUGCGCCUUUUCUCACAAAUCACCUCUGCAAGCUUUUGAAUCCCAGCCCAUUACAAAUUGAAUGUUCGUAUCAACUAGUGCACAUCAACUUUUAUAGCAAAGCUGCUUCUUGGCAAUGUGCUUAAGGAAGGCACCCACAUAUCUGUUAAUCCUCUUGUAAUAUGGGCAUGGGCUGGACUCCUUAUUAAUGCCAUCAACAGUAUCCCUGCUGGACAGCUUGAUGGAGGGAGAAUUUGUUUUGCCAUAUGGGGAAGAAAGAGAUCAAAUCGUGAUAGGCACAGCUUCAUGGCGCUGGACCUUUCCUUUAUGCAUCGUGAUAGAUAUGGCUUGCUGCAGCUGGAAGUUUCCUUUUCUGCAUAAGGGCAGCAGCUACACAUUCGUUGAUCUGCAAUCGUGGAGUCUGAUUUGAAUGUCGCGCCAUGCGCUCUGCAGCUGGACUUUUCCUUUCCUGUUUGUAAGUCAGCUAGACAGAUUGCAUAUUUGUUGGGAUGCUGCUGGAUUACCAUAUUGGCUUGCACACACGUGGCUCUCUCUUGGCUUGGACUCUACUCCACUAACACGUUGAGUUCUUGUGGCAGCAUCUCCUGCCUUGGCUUGUGUCUUAGCAAUGCUGAGGUGUCCAAGGGCAGGAACUUCAACAUACCAUACCCAUUCCCCUUUACAGAUGAAGCAAUUACAAGUUUCUAGAAACACUUUCCGCAUACAUUCUAAAGCCUAAACCAUCUGAUAGAAUUGAAAAGCCAUUUUGGUAGGACCUGUCUUAGAAAAUUACUCAAAUGUAUUGGUUUCACAUUAAUAAUAUUUUAGAAAAGUAUCUGUUAAUGCUUUUUGGAAGAUGCUUUUUUCAGAGAUUGAAAUUGAAUGUUCGUAUCAA
Alnus glutinosa is the source of this 1834-nucleotide long non-coding RNA. RefSeq lists it as uncharacterized. Lineage: Eukaryota; Viridiplantae; Streptophyta; Magnoliopsida; Fagales; Betulaceae. The transcript has 3 exons. The record is from RefSeq and is a predicted model, not a curated record.